Molecule: ribosomal RNA, 377 nt
Filed under: uncultured bacterium
Lineage: Bacteria
Description: bacterial SSU rRNA
Rfam family: Bacterial small subunit ribosomal RNA
Source: RNAcentral
UACGGAGGGUGCGAGCGUUGUCCGGAAUCACUGGGCGUAAAGGGCGCGUAGGCGGCUCGUGCAAGCGGGCGGUGAAAGCCCGGGGCUCAACCCCGGGUCAGCCGAACGGACUGCGGAGCUGGACCAGACUAGGGGCUCGUGGAAUUCCGGGUGUAGCGGUGGAAUGCGUAGAGAUCCGGAAGAACACCGGUGGCGAAGGCGGCGAGCUGGGGUCUGUGUGACGCUGAUGCGCGACAGCGUGGGGAGCAAACAGGAUUAGAUACCCUGGUAGUCCACGCCGUAAACGAUGGGCACUAGGUGCUCGGAGGAGCGACCCUUCGAGUGCCGUCGCUAACGCAUUAAGUGCCCCGCCUGGGGAGUACGGCCGCAAGGCUGAA